AUGUAUAAUUGAUAUUUGAAUAAGGUGGCACAUGUGAGGCUGCUACGGAAGUUGAGAGCCCGCAGUAUCAAGGGGCAGAUACUAUCAUGGAUAGCAGGUUGGCUGGAUGGCAGAAGACAAAGAGUGGCAAUAAAGGGGGCAUUUUCUGGUUGGCUGUCAGCGACUAGCAGAGUUCCACAGAGGUCUGUACUGGGGCCGCUACUCUUCACGUUGUAUAUUUAUGAUUUGGACGAGGGGAUUGAAAGCUUUGUGGCCAAGUUUGCAGAUGAUACAAAAAUAGGUA
Long non-coding RNA from Amblyraja radiata (thorny skate), 283 nucleotides. RefSeq lists it as uncharacterized. The transcript is spliced from 3 exons. Lineage: Eukaryota; Metazoa; Chordata; Chondrichthyes; Rajiformes; Rajidae. The record is from RefSeq and is a predicted model, not a curated record.